RNAcentral lists this ribosomal RNA (253 nucleotides) under uncultured bacterium. RNAcentral describes it as "partial 16S ribosomal RNA". It matches the Rfam family "Bacterial small subunit ribosomal RNA", at positions 524 to 776 of the family's 1533-position model. The record is from RNAcentral.
UACGUAGGGGGCUAGCGUUGUCCGGAAUCAUUGGGCGUAAAGAGCGUGUAGGCGGCCCGGUAAGUCCGCUGUAAAAGUCAAAGGCUCAACCUUUGAAUGUCAGUGGAUACUGCCGGGCUAGAGUCCGGAAUAGGCGAGUGGAACUCCUGGUGUAGCGGUGGAACGCGCAGAUAUCAGGAAGAACACCAACGGCGAAGGCAGCUCGCUGGGACGGUACUGACGCUGAGACGCGAAAGCGUGGGGAGCGAACAGG